This 909-nucleotide ribosomal RNA is filed under the name Salmonella enterica. Its description in RNAcentral is "partial 23S ribosomal RNA". It matches the Rfam family "Bacterial large subunit ribosomal RNA", at positions 379 to 1190 of the family's 2925-position model. Lineage: Bacteria; Pseudomonadati; Pseudomonadota; Gammaproteobacteria; Enterobacterales; Enterobacteriaceae. The record is from RNAcentral.
ACAAAAGCGCAUGUGCUGUGAGCUCGAUGAGUAGGGCGGGACACGUGGUAUCCUGUCUGAAUAUGGGGGGACCAUCCUCCAAGGCUAAAUACUCCUGACUGACCGAUAGUGAACCAGUACCGUGAGGGAAAGGCGAAAAGAACCCCGGCGAGGGGAGUGAAAAAGAACCUGAAACCGUGUACGUACAAGCAGUGGGAGCCCCACCACCAAAGCAUUCUCUGGUGUUGAAGGCCCUGCAAAGCAGCAUCGCGGUGGCGGAGCGUCGUUUGCGACGCCCAACACACAAAACAAGCGGUGAGUGCUUUGGGGUGGGGUGACUGCGUACCUUUUGUAUAAUGGGUCAGCGACUUAUAUUCUGUAGCAAGGUUAACCGAAUAGGGGAGCCGGAGGGAAACCGAGUCUUAAUUGGGCGUUAAGUUGCAGGGUAUAGACCCGAAACCCGGUGAUCUAGCCAUGGGCAGGUUGAAGGUUGGGUAACACUAACUGGAGGACCGAACCGACUAAUGUUGAAAAAUUAGCGGAUGACCUGUGGCUGGGGGUGAAAGGCCAAUCAAACCGGGAGAUAGCUGGUUCUCCCCGAAAGCUAUUUAGGUAGCGCCUCGUGAAUUCAUCUCCGGGGGUAGAGCACUGUUUCGGCUAGGGGGCCAUCCCGGCUUACCAACCCGAUGCAAACUGCGAAUACCGGAGAAUGUUAUCACGGGAGACACACGGCGGGUGCUAACGUCCGUCGUGAAGAGGGAAACAACCCAGACCGCCAGCUAAGGUCCCAAAGUCAUGGUUAAGUGGGAAACGAUGUGGGAAGGCCCAGACAGCCAGGAUGUUGGCUUAGAAGCAGCCAUCAUUUAAAGAAAGCGUAAUAGCUCACUGGUCGAGUCGGCCUGCGCGGAAGAUGUAACGGGGCUAAACCAU